GUGGGGAAUAUUGGACAAUGGGGGGAACCCUGAUCCAGCCAUGCCGCGUGUGUGAAGAAGGCCUUUUGGUUGUAAAGCACUUUAAGCGAGGAGGAGGCUACCGAGAUUAAUACUCUUGGAUAGUGGACGUUACUCGCAGAAUAAGCACCGGCUAACUCUGUGCCAGCAGCCGCGGUAAUACAGAGGGUGCAAGCGUUAAUCGGAUUUACUGGGCGUAAAGCGCGCGUAGGUGGCCAAUUAAGUCAAAUGUGAAAUCCCCGAGCUUAACUUGGGAAUUGCAUUCGAUACUGGUUGGCUAGAGUAUGGGAGAGGAUGGUAGAAUUCCAGGUGUAGCGGUGAAAUGCGUAGAGAUCUGGAGGAAUACCGAUGGCGAAGGCAGCCAUCUGGCCUAAUACUGACGCUGAGGUACGAAAGCAUGGGGAGCAAACAGGAUUAGAAACCCCAGUAGUCC
This 451-nucleotide ribosomal RNA is filed under the name uncultured bacterium. RNAcentral's name for it is "bacterial SSU rRNA". It matches the Rfam family "Bacterial small subunit ribosomal RNA", at positions 354 to 796 of the family's 1533-position model. The record is from RNAcentral.